AAGAUCAGCAACAAGGAGAUGACGGCACUGGACCAGAGGCUUGGGGCACUCCGGGAGGCUCUGCAGGACAAGGCCAAGGAAGCAAAGAGUGGCCAGGCUGUGAGACCGAGGCACAGAGAGCCAAGACGGCCGAGGGUUUAUCAAGACUGACACCAACGUGACGGUCAAAGUGUUAGAGCACCCAGCUUAGGGAGAGGGUGCAGGCACCUUGCCAAAUGCCUCGUUAGGCUUCUGGGAGAUGCUGCCGUUGCUGCCACACACUCUAGGGACUGCCAGAACCAUAACAAUACUGCCGGGAGGGUCAUCGGGAAGGCGUGUUCACCUGCUGCCAGAUGUGCUCCACCUCAAGUGUGCCGGCAUAAAGGAGCCGGAGGAGGAGGGGAGUGCCAUGCCGUCAUACAGGAAGAGAACACGGAGAACAGCUCUGAAAAAUGAAGAAAGGAAGGAAGGACGGAAGGAAGAUAAUCUCAGAAGACCCAUACAGUCCAUUACAUGUCUUUCAUGUUAUGUUAUUACAUUCCUGUACUCCCAAAGCCCGGUCUGGGGCCACAGCACUCACAAGGUCCAGAUGCAGACUGCGGCCACCACUUGAGCAGCCCGGCUGCUGUACACCAAUCCUUAUUUAGUUGUGUUCUUGUAGAGUUAAAUCCAGACAUCCCAUAUCCUUAGGCCAGGUCAAAAGUAAAGUUUGGUGUGCAUGGCCUCAGUGCUCAUCUCUGUUACAUUGCCCCUGGAGGCUGUGGAGGCAGGAGCCCAGCACCCUGGGACACACUCAGACUACCACAGGUGCCUCCCCAGGGGUCUCCAGGUACACAUGAUCACCCAGACACAAAGGAUGACCUGCAUACUAACUGCCCAAGCCGGGAUUCAAACCAUGGCCAGCAAAUUUGUAGGUAGGCAUGCCAGCCACAGCACCAUGGAGCCAUGUAUUAUACUAGUACUUGGCACUGGUAUCCUAUGCUAUUUAUUCCUAGCUAGUUGGACACCAGAGAUUUCCUGUAUUAAUUUCAUGGGUUUUAUGUUAUAUAUUUGUUUAUUAGGUGUAUCUUUUUAUUAGUUUUUAUCAUGAUUUUUAUUGUUAUUUAGUGAAGCAGCUCAAGGAAAACUGUUGUUGUUCUGGAUGUUUUCUUCCUCUCUCUCUUGUCAUCAUUUUAGCUCCCGUCCUCUCUCAUCUCGCUUCUCUUCUUCCUUCUCUCUCUCUCUUUCUCGAAACUCACUUGAAUGUAAUACAAAACACACUUUGCAAAUUGAUAUUUUUAUUGCUGAACACAAACACACACACAUACACAUAGUGACAUAAGGAAGGUCAUGUGGCUAUGUAGGGGGGCGGGUCAGGGCAGGGUCCAUUAUGUGUCUGGGGGAGGGCAUGUGUCUGUGGGAUGUUAUCAACUUCCUGUGGGUGACAUCCUGUGUGGCCUGUGAGCUGAGAGAGAGAGAGAGAGAGAGAGAGAGAGAGAGAGAGAGAGAGAGAGAGAGAGAGAGAGAGAGAGAGAGAGAGAGAGAGAGAGAGAGAGAGA
Molecule: long non-coding RNA, 1517 nt
Organism: Eriocheir sinensis (Chinese mitten crab)
Lineage: Eukaryota; Metazoa; Arthropoda; Malacostraca; Decapoda; Varunidae
Exons: 4
Source: RefSeq, a predicted model, not a curated record